AACGAACGCUGGCGGCAGGCUUAACACAUGCAAGUCGAACGCCCCGCAAGGGGAGUGGCAGACGGGUGAGUAACGCGUGGGAACAUACCCUUUUCUACGGAAUAGCUCUGGGAAACUGGAAUUAAUACCGUAUACGCCCUACGGGGGAAAGAUUUAUCGGGGAAGGAUUGGCCCGCGUUGGAUUAGCUAGUUGGUGGGGUAAAGGCCUACCAAGGCGACGAUCCAUAGCUGGUCUGAGAGGAUGAUCAGCCACAUUGGGACUGAGACACGGCCCAAACUCCUACGGGAGGCAGCAGUGGGGAAUAUUGGACAAUGGGCGCAAGCCUGAUCCAGCGAUGCCGCGUGAGUGAUGAAGGCCUUAGGGUUGUAAAGCUCUUUCACCGAUGAAGAUAAUGACGGUAGUCGGAGAAGAAGCCCCGGCUAACUUCGUG
This 431-nucleotide ribosomal RNA is filed under the name uncultured bacterium. RNAcentral's name for it is "partial 16S ribosomal RNA". It matches the Rfam family "Bacterial small subunit ribosomal RNA", at positions 29 to 507 of the family's 1533-position model. The record is from RNAcentral.